GAGAGAGAGAAGAGGACAGGAGAGAGGGAGGAGAGAUAUCAAAUUAGGAUACAAAUAAUUUGCUAUAUAAUUAAAAUAUUGUUUUUUUAAUAAUUUUUUGAAAAUAUAAUUAUUUUCCAUAAAUAAUUUGAUAAUUUUGGCUAGUUUGAUAAUUUUCCCAAAUAAUAAAUCAACAAAGAGUUGAUUGAUCCAAAGCUAGAUUUAGCCCAAAAGAACUAUCAUAGAGGCAUUAUCAGUGUAUCGACAGAUUAUUCGACAAUCUUCUCCAAGUGUUGAGAAAGAACUUGAAAAUAUUGUCGGAGUCUUAUUGUUGGAACUGCUUCUUUGUUCUUCUCCUCCUCUAUAUAAUCUUACAGGUUGAUCCUGAUAAAGCAUUCUGAGUUAAGCUCUGCAUCGAGCCUAUACUGUUUCAAUGUAGUUGGGUGUAUCCAUUUCUGAAUGAAUCUGAAAAAGGGUGUUGUCAAGGAUCUCAGGUUUUAGUUCUCGUGUGCAGGCAAUUCUUGAAAAUAAAGUUUGAAGGAUUUGGAGAUAAAACUCACUGAAAUACACCGGUGAUAGAACCAUCGUCCAAAAGGAUGGAAUCAACGUCCCGCUGGCUUGACGCCGGCUAGACUAGAAAGAAAAUUGUCUUAAGCACCAACAUUAAAUAAUUGCAAAUCGGGGUUCUGUUGAUCCUAGUGCAGAUCAGAUCCGGCCGGAAAGAAACACACUGAGGUGGUGACGUGACCGACGCUGAAUGCUUCUGCACCAGCGUUUCACUGGUUCAACACAAUUGGAAUACAAAAGCUCAAAGACAAAAACAUAUUUAAUCCUGAAAGUGCUUUUUUUGAAAGGUUUCAAUGAUAAUAUUGAAAUUUAUGUAAUUAUGUAUCAUUAUCUUCUUCUCAAUUGGGGAAAGGUUUCAUAAAGAUUUCUAUUAGUGAAAGUAUAAAAUAGAAAAUAGCUUGUAGAGUUCUUACUUACUCAAGAAGGAAACUUAAAUUUGUACAUCUUUAAGCUUGAAUUCAACUUUGGUUAUUGUUUAUGCUUGAAAUGGAGCUUUUC
Long non-coding RNA from Solanum dulcamara, 1044 nucleotides. RefSeq lists it as uncharacterized. The transcript has 3 exons. The record is from RefSeq and is a predicted model, not a curated record. Lineage: Eukaryota; Viridiplantae; Streptophyta; Magnoliopsida; Solanales; Solanaceae.